RNAcentral lists this ribosomal RNA (398 nucleotides) under uncultured Hypotrichia. RNAcentral's name for it is "partial small subunit ribosomal RNA". It matches the Rfam family "Eukaryotic small subunit ribosomal RNA", at positions 30 to 432 of the family's 1831-position model. The record is from RNAcentral. Lineage: Eukaryota; Ciliophora; Spirotrichea.
GCUUGUCUCAAAGAUUAAGCCAUGCAUGUCUAAGUAUAAAUGUUAUACAGUGAAACUGCGAAUGGCUCAUUAAAACAGUUAUAGUUUAUUUGAUAAUCGAAUCUACAUGGAUAACCGUGGUAAUUCUAGAGCUAAUACAUGCUGGUUAGCCUGACUUCGCGGAAGGGCUGUAUUUAUUAGAUAACAAACCAAUAUUCCUUGUGUCUAUUGUGAUGACUCAUAAUAACUGAUCGAAUCGCAUGGACCUUGUCCGCGAUACAUCAUUCAAGUUUCUGCCCCAUCAGCUUUCGAUGGUAGUGUAUUGGACUACCAUGGCUUUAACGGGUAACGGAGGAUUAGGGUUCGAUUCCGGAGAGGGAGCCUUAAAAACGGCUACCACAUCCAAGGAAGGCAGCAGG